AGUGAACGCUGGCGGUAGGCCUAACACAUGCAAGUCGAACGGCAGCACAGUAAGAGCUUGCUCUUACGGGUGGCGAGUGGCGGACGGGUGAGGAAUACAUCGGAAUCUACUUUUUCGUGGGGGAGAACGUAGGGAAACUUACGCUAAUACCGCAUACGAACUACGGGUGAAAGCAGGGGAUCUUCGGACCUUGCGCGAUUGAAUGAGCCGAUGUCGGAUUAGCUAGUUGGCGGGGUAAAGGCCCACCAAGGCGACGAUCCGUAGCUGGUCUGAGAGGAUGAUCAGCCACACUGGAACUGAGACACGGUCCAGACUCCUACGGGAGGCAGCAGUGGGGAAUAUUGGACAAUGGGCGCAAGCCUGAUCCAGCCAUACCGCGUGGGUGAAGAAGGCCUUCGGGUUGUAAAGCCCUUUUGUUGGGAAAGAAAAGCAGCAGGUUAAUACCCCGCUGUUCUGACGGUACCCAAAGAAUAAGCACCGGCUAACUUCGUG
RNAcentral lists this ribosomal RNA (492 nucleotides) under uncultured bacterium. RNAcentral's name for it is "partial 16S ribosomal RNA". It matches the Rfam family "Bacterial small subunit ribosomal RNA", at positions 29 to 507 of the family's 1533-position model. The record is from RNAcentral.